RNAcentral lists this ribosomal RNA (253 nucleotides) under uncultured bacterium. Its description in RNAcentral is "partial 16S ribosomal RNA". It matches the Rfam family "Bacterial small subunit ribosomal RNA", at positions 524 to 776 of the family's 1533-position model. The record is from RNAcentral.
UACGGGGGGGGCAAGCGUUGUUCGGAAUUACUGGGCGUAAAGGGCUCGUAGGCGGCCAACUAAGUCAGACGUGAAAUCCCUCGGCUUAACCGGGGAACUGCGUCUGAUACUGGAUGGCUGGAGUUCGGUAGGGGAGACUGGAAUUCCUGGUGUAGCGGUGAAAUGCGCAGAUAUCAGGAGGAACACCGGUGGCGAAGGCGGGUCUCUGGGCCGAUACUGACGCUGAGGAGCGAAAGCGUGGGGAGCGAACAGG